AAGAGAAAGGAACAUACAAUCUGAACAGGUAUGACAAUCUUGCAUGAAUAUUUAUUUUAUGACUUCUCAAAGGCCUCGUGGUUUUACAGCUUUCUGAUAUCUCAACAUUCGGCAGUUUCGAUGCAAAUAGUCUCCAAAGCUUUUGGGAUCAGAUUUAUUGGGGGGGGUCUGUUGUUAAGCUCUGCAAACAGGUUUGUGAAUUAGUAGCCUCGGCUACAACUCCAGGACCAAGCAGCCAUUGUUCAAUAAAGCACCCAGUCCUGGUGGUUUUCAAUAGGCUGGUUACAGGUGUUAAGACCAGUAGAAAAAGUGACAAAGCUCUCCUAUCUUACAUGCUCUUUACUUGUGCUGCUGUUGCAGGUGUGGGGUGAAGCAUGAAGGGAGAGUCUGCUGUUGCAGGUGUGGGGUGAAGCAUGAAGGGAGAGUCUGCUGUUGCAGGUGUGGGGUGAAGCAUGAAGGGAGAGUCUGCUGUUGCAGGUGUGGGGUGAAGCAUGAAGGGGGAGUCUGCUGUUGCAGGUGUGGGGUGAAGCAUGAAGGGAGAGUCUGCUGUUGCAGGUGUGGGGUGAAGCAUGAAGGGAGAGUCUGCUGUUGCAGGUGUGGGGUGAAGCAUGAAGGGGGAGUCUGCUGUUCCAUUUCCUUAUGUUCCUUGUGUUACGGGUUAUUAUUGAGAGCACAAGAGGGUAUACUGCAUUUUGAUUCAGGUGAUUGCUCAGUGCAAACGCCAAAACGGAGAAAUAACUACAGGUUUGUGUUAACCAUUACAUAAUUAGCGUGUACUUUGAGUCUCAUAAAAUGACAUUUCGUGAGAUAAGGUAGUUUCGUUAAAACAGUACCUCAAACAGUCUCUGUUUUGGUUUUAAAUGUACAUCUGCAUAUGUCUCUACAAGCAUUGGGCACCUAGACCUACCUAACCUGAUAUCGGCCGUACAU
Molecule: long non-coding RNA, 930 nt
Organism: Oncorhynchus keta (chum salmon)
Lineage: Eukaryota; Metazoa; Chordata; Actinopteri; Salmoniformes; Salmonidae
Exons: 4
Source: RefSeq, a predicted model, not a curated record